Molecule: ribosomal RNA, 460 nt
Filed under: uncultured bacterium
Lineage: Bacteria
Description: partial 16S ribosomal RNA
Rfam family: Bacterial small subunit ribosomal RNA
Source: RNAcentral
CCUACGGGAGGCUGCAGUGAGGAAUAUUGGUCAAUGGACGAGAGUCUGAACCAGCCAAGUAGCGUGAAGGAUGACUGCCCUAUGGGUUGUAAACUUCUUUUAUAAAGGAAUAAAACGAGGCACGUGUGCCUUUUUGCAUGUACUUUAUGAAUAAGGAUCGGCUAACUCCGUGCCAGCAGCCGCGGUAAUACGGAGGAUCCGAGCGUUAUCCGGAUUUAUUGGGUUUAAAGGGAGCGUAGAUGGGUUGUUAAGUCAGUUGUGAAAGUUUGCGGCUCAACCGUAAAAUUGCAAUUGAUACUGGCAGUCUAGAGUACAGGUGAGGUAGGCGGAAUGCGUGGUGUAGCGGUGAAAUGCUUAGAUAUCACGAAGAACCCCGAUUGCGAAGGCAGCUUACUAAACUGUGACUGACAUUGAUGCUCGAAAGUGUGGGUAUCAAACAGGAUUAGAUACCCGAGUAGUC